AAGGAUUAAGCAUUCAGCUGGGGAGUACGGUCGCAAGAUUAAAACUCAAAGGAAUUGACGGGGGUCCGCACAAGCGUGGAGCAUGUGGUUUAAUUUGAAGCAACGCGCAGAACCUUACCAACCCUUGACAUACCCCGGACCGGCCUGGAGACAGGUCUUCCACUUCGGUGGCCGGGUGACAGGUGCUGCAUGGCUGUCGUCAGCUCGUGUCGUGAGAUGUUCGGUUAAGUCCGGCAACGAGCGCAACCCACGUCCCCAGUUGCCAGCAUUCAGUUGGGCACUUUGUGGAAACGGCCGGUGAUAAGCCGGAGGAAGGUGUGGAUGACGUCAAGUCCUCAUGGCCCUUACGGGUUGGGCUACACACGUGCUACAAUGGUGGUGACAGUGGGUUAAUCCCCAAAAGCCAUCUCAGUUCGGAUUGUCCUCUGCAACUCGAGGGCAUGAAGUUGGAAUCGCUAGUAAUCGCGGAACAGCACGCCGCGGUGAAUACGUUUCCGGGCCUUGUACACACCGCCCGUCACACCAUGGGAGUUGGGUAUACCCCGACGGCCGUGCGCUAACCCUUAUCGGGAGGCAGCGG
Molecule: ribosomal RNA, 580 nt
Filed under: Paracoccus sp. T2-28
Lineage: Bacteria; Pseudomonadati; Pseudomonadota; Alphaproteobacteria; Rhodobacterales; Paracoccaceae
Description: bacterial SSU rRNA
Rfam family: Bacterial small subunit ribosomal RNA
Source: RNAcentral